UACGUAGGUGGCAAGCGUUGUCCGGAUUUACUGGGCGUAAAGCGUGCGCAGGCGGUUCGUUAUGUCCGUUGUGAAAGCCCCGGGCUCAACCUGGGAAUGGCAAUGGAAACUGGCGGGCUCGAGUGUGGCAGAGGGGGGUGGAAUUCCGCGUGUAGCAGUGAAAUGCGUAGAGAUGCGGAGGAACACCGAUGGCGAAGGCAGCCCCCUGGGCUAACACUGACGCUCAGGCACGAAAGCGUGGGGAGCAAACAGG
This 253-nucleotide ribosomal RNA is filed under the name uncultured bacterium. RNAcentral describes it as "partial 16S ribosomal RNA". It matches the Rfam family "Bacterial small subunit ribosomal RNA", at positions 524 to 776 of the family's 1533-position model. The record is from RNAcentral.